AGCUCACACUGGACCCAAACACAGCACACACACGCCUCUCUCUGUCUGAAGGGAACAGAAAGUAUCAUUGAUCAGCUUGUUGGCUCGGUCCUAAUUGAUGUGUUCUCUGUCACCUGGAGCUGCAUGGAAAAUGGUCCAGGAACUAAAGGACAAUUCAGGACUAGUCAGCCCACUACAAGCUGGUAUCACUUACUUUCUACUAAACUAUAUGGUCUGGUUUCCCAGACACAGAUGAAUCCUAGUCCUGGACUAAACAGUAUGUUCAAUGUAGAUGUCCAGGAAACCGGCCCUAAAUGUGUCAUCUUUCAUCCUCCCAUACUGCUCAGUCCAGCAACAUUAAACCUGUCCAGCAGGUGGUGCUGUUGACCAAACAAUAAAACCAGCAGAUAUCUUGACUUGCCACUCAGUAUAUCAGUAAUGUUCAGAAUAGUACUUUAAUAUCAUUGGAGAUUGAUGGUCUUUUUAAUCCACUAUCCAGAGUCAGGAACAGAUGAAGUUAGGUCUGCUACUGUUCAGUGAUUAAAUAUGAUUUAUGGUGAUGGGAAAUAAUAAAAAACACU
Non-coding RNA from Oncorhynchus mykiss (rainbow trout), 560 nucleotides. NCBI's taxonomy places the organism in Eukaryota, Metazoa, Chordata, Actinopteri, Salmoniformes, Salmonidae. The record is from RefSeq and is a predicted model, not a curated record.